AACCCCCGAUAUUAGGCGGGGAAACAUGAUUAUGUGUCAUGUGUUUUCAGGUAGAUAGGAAAAGGAACCCCAACAUUCCAAAACCUCGGCGAAUCUUGCGCUCGGCCUGGGGCAGCAACCCUUACUUCCGCGGCUCCUAUUCAUACACGCAGGUGGGCUCCAGCGGGGCGGAUGUGGAGAAGCUGGCCAAGCCCCUGCCGUACACGGAGAGCUCAAAGACAGCGCCCAUGCAGGUGCUGUUUUCCGGUGAGGCCACCCACCGCAAGUACUAUUCCACCACCCACGGUGCUCUGCUGUCCGGCCAGCGUGAGGCUGCCCGCCUCAUUGAGAUGUACCGAGACCUCUUCCAGCAGGGGACCUGAGGGCUGUCCUCGCUGCUGAGAAGAGCCACUAACUCGUGACCUCCAGCCUGCCCCUUGCUGCCGUGUGCUCCUGCCUUCCUGAUCCUCUGUAGAAAGGAUUUUUAUCUUCUCUGUAGAGCUAGCCGCCCUGACUGCCUUCAGACCUGGCCCUGUAGCUUUUCUUUUUCUCCAGGCUGGGCCGUGAGCAGGUGGGCCGUUGAGUUACCUCUGUGCUGGAUCCCGUGCCCCCCUUGCCUACCCUCUGUCCCGCCUUGUUAUUGUAAGUGCCUUCAAUACUUUGCAUUUUGGGAUAAUAAAAAAGGCUCCCUCCCCUGCCCCUCAGCUUCCCUCUGGUUUUCUCA
RNAcentral lists this small RNA (703 nucleotides) under Pan troglodytes (chimpanzee). RNAcentral's name for it is "processed transcript". The record is from RNAcentral. Lineage: Eukaryota; Metazoa; Chordata; Mammalia; Primates; Hominidae.